ACAGAGCUACAAGCUACAUGUCCCUGGCCCCUCUCCCUAGGAGCACAGAGUUCCAGUGAAGAACCUAAAGCACAAACACUGACAGCUGUAAGAUGAGGAAACAGAAGCUGGGAUAUGUGAGUAAACAUUUCCAAGGUCCUGCAGCUAAUCAAUGGUUGACAACUUCUUUCCUCUGCCUAUGUUGCCAUCCAUGUCAUGGUUUGUGUCAAGACUCUAGGAGAAGUCUACCAUCAGCACCACAGCUACUGUGCACAAAUCCAGAAUGCCAGACUGAAGUCAGAAGGAAAGAGAUGAUGCAGCUCAUUGCUGAUGCUGAGAUCCAACGUCCAGUGCCUGAGUACCCCUGGAUUCUGAGCACUAGGGGCUGGACUGUGGAGACCAUCAGUUCAUAACAUCCUGUCCCUGCUCCCUGCUGUAGAUGACUGAGACCAGGAAAAAAAGCAUCUCUCUGAAGUUAAAUGGCAUUUCAUUUUGAUUAAUUGUAGAAAGAAGAUUGGAAAAAUCUCCCAUGACCAAGGAAAAUUGUGAAAAAUAUUUCUGAUAUUUUGUCUAUGCAUUUUAUUUUUGAGGGUGUUUUUUAUAUUAGUGUGACUAUUUUGUAUUUCCUACCCUGUUGUAAACUUUUUAAAAAUUGCUCUUACAGUUAUUACUAAGUAUAUGAUUUAAAAUCCCUAAUUAGGGUUCUUAAACAAGGGAGAAGCACUCUCAUACCCCUAGAACAAGAUGAACAAAAGAAGGAGGAAAAAUCUUGACCUCCGUAAGAUCCAGGAUGGCACGUGCAAGGCACUGACACAGCAUCUGCCGGCAUCACUGACUCUCCUGGACCCCAGAAGCCCAGUUCCCCAGGCUCUGAAACCCUGCAGCAAUGAAAAGGAAGCACAGGCAAACCAUAAGGAAGAUAAUUUUUCUACUAAAAAAUAAAUAGAAAUGCAUCCUUAGAGGCAGGUUUCAUGAGGACACAGAGAAUCCGGUUUUGUGUGUGCCUGAUUUCGUUUUUCUGUCAAAGAGAUACAAAACAAUCAACUGAGUUAUCUUGAACUUACAAAGAUUAAAAAUAAUCAAUUCCUGUUACUAUUUUCAAUUUUUCCCCCAUUUUACUUCUUUAGGUAUGAAGAAAUGUAGCCUAUUAAAACCUGGAUUAAUAAAAACCUUUCAUUAACUUUUAGAA
This 1168-nucleotide long non-coding RNA is filed under the name Homo sapiens (human). Its description in RNAcentral is "long independently transcribed non-coding RNA 3007, transcript variant 4 (LINC03007)". The record is from RNAcentral. Lineage: Eukaryota; Metazoa; Chordata; Mammalia; Primates; Hominidae.